GCCGACUUAGCUCAAUCGGUAGAGCAACUGACUUGUAAUCAGUAGGUUACGGGUUCAAUUCCUGUAGUCGGCACCA
This 76-nucleotide transfer RNA is filed under the name Bacilli bacterium. Its description in RNAcentral is "tRNA-Thr". It matches the Rfam family "tRNA". From Rfam's summary of the family: Transfer RNA (tRNA) molecules are approximately 80 nucleotides in length. The record is from RNAcentral. Lineage: Bacteria; Bacillati; Bacillota; Bacilli.